Molecule: ribosomal RNA, 1041 nt
Filed under: Triticum aestivum (bread wheat)
Lineage: Eukaryota; Viridiplantae; Streptophyta; Magnoliopsida; Poales; Poaceae
Description: partial small subunit ribosomal RNA
Source: RNAcentral
AUGGCAGACCUUGAAUCGUCUGUACCUUCAAUGGUUGACGGCCUUAAACGAGGACAGAGGAAAGUUUUGUUUUGCUCAUUCAAGAGGAAUUUUGUUGAAGAAGCUUUUGUCACCGAGCUCAUUGGUUAUGCGUCAGCACACUCAGCAUAUAGUAAGCAGAGUCUAGCAAGCAUAAUUAUAGGAAUGGCUCAGGAAUUUGUUGGCAGCAAUAAUAUUAGUCUUUUGGAGCCUGGUGGCCUGUUUGGGACCAGAAAUUUGGGGGGAAAAGAUGCUGGUAGUACUAAGGACCUCUACACCAGAUUACCACCUGUCACCCGUUUAAUUUUUCCAAAGGAUGAUGAUAUUCUUCUGAACUAUUUGAAUGAAGAUGGACAGUCAAUUGAACCCAGUUGGCAUAUACCAAUCAUUCCCAUGGUUUUGGUCAAUGGAAGUGAAGAUGUUGGCACUGGUUAUGUCCCAAACUAUAAUCCAAGAGACAUCAUUGCUAAUCUGAAAAGGAUGCUAAACAAAGAGCCUAUUAUACCAAUGGACCCUUGGUACAAGGGGUUCCAGGGUUCUUUGACUAAGACAAGAUCAAAGGAAACUGGUGUGACAUAUACCAUCACUGGUGUUAUAGAGGAAGUUGAUUGCACCAUGCUUACAAUUACUGAGCUUCCCGUCCGCUGCUGGUCGGCAGAUUACGAACAUUUUCUUAAAUCCAUGUGUCCUCAUAAGGAAAAGGAAAAUGGUAAGGGCAUGGAUAAGGACAAGGAGCCACCGUUUCUAGAGGGAUAUAGGUCGCGAUGUAGUCAUGCAGAUGUGGAUUUUGAGGUUAUAUUGAGUGAGCAAAACAUGAAUAUUGCUAAGCAAGAGGGCCUUGAGAAGAAAUUCAAACUGACAACCACAAUAGGACCAACAAUGUACUUGUUUGACUCACAUGGUAAAAUCAGAAAAUAUGACAGCCCAGAAGACGUACUUGAAGAGUUCUUCACCCUAAGGCUCGAAUUCUAUGCGAGAAGAAAGGCGGUAAUGGUGGAAAAUAUUAGGAAAGAGGUGCUGUAG